This 69-nucleotide transfer RNA is filed under the name Idolomantis diabolica. RNAcentral's name for it is "tRNA-Trp". The record is from RNAcentral. Lineage: Eukaryota; Metazoa; Arthropoda; Insecta; Mantodea; Empusidae.
AAGGCUUUAAGUUAAAAAACCAAACUAAUAUCCUUCAAAGUUAUAAAUAAAGAUUACCUUUAAGUCUUA